GAGUUUGAACACAGGCAAGAGUUAUUCAAGUCUUGUAUUAGUUCCGCUGGACUUAACAUCCCUUCACCGUGCCUGUAGAGAUACUCCAGCCAGAGCACCACCUCAGCAGCUGCACACUUGCCUGGCCAUUCUGCUUUGCGCUCUCUCCUUCAUUGACAGAGGUCAACCCUUUCUCUGAAUGCAUUUCACUUGCAGAUGAAACACCAAACAUCUUUUCUUCCCCGUCUCCAGUGACUCCCUCAUACGCCACUGAGACAACUACUGGUAAUGAGGAAGAAGUAAAACAAAACGGGUUCCAGAUCAUCCUUUGGCCUGGCGUUGCUAUCGUGACCAGCAAGACCCUGGCAGUAGUGAUCCUAGUGUUCCUCGUGAGAAGGAGGAAGAGGAACUCCACCGUGAAGGCGCCCAGAUGACACAAGAGUCCAGCCAGCAGCCUCCCCUCCUCAGCCCCUUUGGAGCAGCAGAGGAGAGCGGCGGGCUGGAGGAGCCCACGAGCACCAUCCCCUGCCGGGAGCUGCCCUCGCAGCCAGGCUGGCCGCUGCCACCAGCUCUCCUGCACUGCCAGGUCCCAGCUGGGAGCGGCCCCGCUGCUGCAACAGCGCAGGCCCUCACCCCACAGCGCCUGCACUUCCCACAGGCAUUGGCAAACCCUCUCGGCCUCCCCACGGGCCCCUGCGCCAGGGCUCUGCGAGGGUGCCCCACAGGAAAUAAAACGUGCAAAAGGCA
This is a non-coding RNA of Phalacrocorax carbo (great cormorant), 726 nucleotides long. The record is from RefSeq and is a predicted model, not a curated record. Lineage: Eukaryota; Metazoa; Chordata; Aves; Suliformes; Phalacrocoracidae.